This 363-nucleotide non-coding RNA is filed under the name Clostridiales bacterium. RNAcentral's name for it is "T-box sequence". It matches the Rfam family "T-box leader". From Rfam's summary of the family: Uncharged tRNA acts as the effector for transcription antitermination of genes in the T-box leader family. The record is from RNAcentral. Lineage: Bacteria; Bacillati; Bacillota; Clostridia; Eubacteriales.
AAAAUGGCGGUGACAGGGAAAGUACGCCUUAAACAGCCUCCAGAGAGAGAGCACCAAAAAGUGUUGUUACAGGAAGCAAGAGAAAUGAAGUAGGAGGCAGGAACUGCAGGAAGGAAUUGGCGGGCCAAUUCCAACAAAAAAUCUUGCAUCUUGCAUCUUGCUUCUUGCCUCCAGUUUCUUGUGAAUCACAGCGCUUUUAGGCUGGAAGUGCUCUUAGAACAUAUUAAGGCGGAAGACCACCCUGGAGCAGUGAGGUUGAAGCUAACUAGACCUCAACGCAUGCCCCCGUUAACGGGCACUAAAAGAGGGCACUCGAAACGUGCCCAUUAGGGUGGAACCACGGGAACUACUCUCGUCCCUACG